RNAcentral lists this ribosomal RNA (369 nucleotides) under uncultured bacterium. Its description in RNAcentral is "bacterial SSU rRNA". It matches the Rfam family "Bacterial small subunit ribosomal RNA", at positions 525 to 896 of the family's 1533-position model. The record is from RNAcentral.
ACGGAGGGUGCAAGCGUUGUCCGGAUUUAUUGGGUUUAAAGGGUGCGUAGGCGGCUUUUUAAGUCAGCGGUGAAAGACUGUCGCUCAACGACGGAACUGCCGUUGAUACUGGGAAACUUGAGUAUGAUUGAGGUAGCCGGAAUGGAUAGUGUAGCGGUGAAAUGCAUAGAUAUUAUCCAGAACGCCAAUAGCGUAGGCAGGUUACUAAGUCAUUACUGACGCUGAGGCACGAAAGUGCGGGGAUCAAACAGGAUUAGAUACCCUGGUAGUCCGCACUGUAAACGAUGAUUACUAGCUGUCGGGCUUUAGGGUUCGGUGGCACAGGGAAACCGUUAAGUAAUCCACCUGGGGAGUACGCCGGCAACGGUG